GAAAUAUAGGCUAAUCUUUUAAACCGUGGGCCUUCAAAGCCCAAACUGUGAACUACUCACUAUUCUGACUAAGACU
This 76-nucleotide transfer RNA is filed under the name Pholidoscelis wetmorei (Puerto Rican blue-tailed ameiva). RNAcentral describes it as "partial tRNA-Trp". The record is from RNAcentral. Lineage: Eukaryota; Metazoa; Chordata; Lepidosauria; Squamata; Teiidae.